This 782-nucleotide ribosomal RNA is filed under the name uncultured Leuconeurospora. RNAcentral describes it as "eukaryotic LSU rRNA". It matches the Rfam family "Eukaryotic large subunit ribosomal RNA", at positions 1 to 793 of the family's 3401-position model. Lineage: Eukaryota; Fungi; Ascomycota; Sordariomycetes; Hypocreales. The record is from RNAcentral.
AAUUUCAGAAUUAAGAUGCAUCUAUCUUGUGUUUUUCUAUUUUUCUCCACGGGUUAUAUCGCGCAGGAAAAGAAACCAACAGGGAUUACCUCAGUAACGGCGAGUGAAGCGGUAACAGCUCAAAUUUGAAAUCUGGCCUCACGGUCCGAAUUGUAAUUUGUAGAGGAUGUUUCGAGCAUGGUCUGGCCUAAGUUCCUUGGAACAGGACGUCAUAGAGGGUGAGAAUCCCGUACGCGGUCAGGUGCCUACGCUCAUGUGAAACUCCUUCGACGAGUCGAGUUGUUUGGGAAUGCAGCUCAAAAUGGGUGGUAAAUUUCAUCUAAAGCUAAAUAUUGGCCAGAGACCGAUAGCGCACAAGUAGAGUGAUCGAAAGAUGAAAAGCACUUUGGAAAGAGAGUUAAACAGUACGUGAAAUUGUUGAAAGGGAAGCGCUUGCAACCAGACUUGCACGCAGCUAAUCAUCCGGUGUUCUCACCGGUGCACUUGGUUGCGUUCAGGCCAGCAUCGGUUUCGGCGGUGGGAUAAAGGCCUUAGGAAUGUAGCUGCUUUCGGGCAGUGUUAUAGCCUAGGGUGCAAUGCCGCCUGCUGGGACCGAGGACCGCGCUUCGGCUAGGAUGCUGGCGUAAUGGUUGUAAGCGGCCCGUCUUGAAACACGGACCAAGGAGUCUAACAUCUAUGCGAGUGUUUGGGUGUCAAACCCAUACGCGUAAUGAAAGUGAACGGAGGUGAGAACCCUUAAGGGUGCAUCAUCGACCGAUCCUGAUGUUCUCGGAUGGAUUUGA